RNAcentral lists this microRNA precursor (70 nucleotides) under Cajanus cajan (pigeon pea). RNAcentral's name for it is "miRNA gene-KK1_035463". The record is from RNAcentral. Lineage: Eukaryota; Viridiplantae; Streptophyta; Magnoliopsida; Fabales; Fabaceae.
CCGAUCUUAAAAGCUAGACUUUUAAGAUCGGUUAAAUAACCAAUAUUAAAAGUUCAACUUUUAAGAUCAU